GUAGGUGAAUCUGUGGAAGGAUCAUUACAGAGUUCAUGCCCUCACGGGUAGACCUCCCACCCUUGUGUAUCUAUACCAUGUUGCUUUGGCAGGCUGCUGGUUUUUUUGGGGGACAGCCUCAGCGCCCUCGGGCCUGAGAGGCGCCUGCCGGAGGAAAAACAAACUCUGAAUUGUUAGUGUCGUUUGAGUAUUAUAUUUUAAUAGUUAAAACUUUCAACAACGGAUCUCUUGGUUUUG
This 237-nucleotide unclassified non-coding RNA is filed under the name rhizosphere metagenome. RNAcentral describes it as "partial ribosomal RNA internal transcribed spacer region". The record is from RNAcentral.